UGCGGGUGUGCUCUGCGCUCUAGUUGUCCUCUGCUCCGUCGUAGUCGGCCGGCGGAAUCGGUGACGCCGUGGUCAGCCGGCUGAAUCGGCGAAGUGGUGCUCCAGCGAGAUCUAUUUGCUGUUAUGCUCCGAGCUGCCAUCUCCGUCGUCCUCGGAUCCGGUUGUUUUCCUGGUUUGAUUCGCUCUCAAAUAACCUCAUAUGUUCGGUUGAUUUGGGGUCUAUUGCCGGCGGAUCGUGGUCAUCUAUUUACGUCUAAUAAAUUUCCAUGCGUGUUUACCUCGUCCCUGAAAAUUGGUGCAGCACCUGGAUUUUCACAUGUUUUGGAUAGAUGCGUUAGAGGUGGUUCAGUUAUGGCAUGAAAUUUGAUGGGCGGUUGACUCGCUGAGGGAAAACUAGUUAUCCAUCGCAUUCAUAGAUUUAUUAUUGCAGGUUCUGGGCUUACCUUGCUCAGCAUGUAGGUCAAGGCGUCUCUCCUAGCAUGAAAAUUAUUAGUUCAUGUAAAGUGAGCAGAAGAGAAGACGCACCUAAUAAUCUAUGUUCAACACCAGGGCGUAGGAACUCUCCUCUGUCCAUAGAUCCAGGCUGUGCAGACACCAUAGCUCACCAAUCCCGACAUUUCGUAGCUCACAUGAGUACGACCACGAGAGAUCUAACACCAUUGGCGCUGAGAACGGCGCUGAGAACAACACAUUGAAAUGGCCAUACAUGUCAGCUCACAAUGUGAUCUGCUUAAGCACGGGGCCCCGAUAUCAAGGUCACCAAGACACCGGUAGCCACGCAAGACAAGCUACUCAAUCGUCGGCUAACAGCGGAAGCACGGAGGCAACACCAUCGGCUCACCGUACAAGAUGUCCAGUCAGAGGACAGCAGGCUAAUGAGCUCUUUAGAAAGAAGCUAGAGAUGUUUUGCAGUGGUCCAUACCGGAGAUCUCGUUCCCAUUGACGGCUCCUCCGCUCGCAGAGGUGUCACUGUCCUUAUUACGGUGACUCCGACAGCAGAGCUUUCGUUCUGGACAUCAGCUCCCCGGAUAAUUCUCCCUGCUAGUGAAGGUUUAGGGAAAACGACGUGAUUCUGGUUAUAUUGGUCAGAUGUGUUCUUUCCUGGGGAAGCAAUCAGUUUCAAUUGAUUGUAAGUAAACUGUAAUAAGUGGCUCUAAAAGACCCCUUUUGGAACGCCUGAAUUUGAUGGAAAACGAGUGUAAAUUGUUCUGUUUUCACACUAGUGAUUAUGUUUGCCGAUAUCAUUAUGAUUUUUCCGUACAACUAAUUAAAUUAUGCUGCUAUGUGAAUGUUUGGUGAUAUGAUUA
Lolium rigidum is the source of this 1307-nucleotide RNA transcript. RefSeq lists it as uncharacterized. The transcript is spliced from 2 exons. NCBI's taxonomy places the organism in Eukaryota, Viridiplantae, Streptophyta, Magnoliopsida, Poales, Poaceae. The record is from RefSeq and is a predicted model, not a curated record.